RNAcentral lists this ribosomal RNA (468 nucleotides) under uncultured bacterium. RNAcentral's name for it is "partial 16S ribosomal RNA". It matches the Rfam family "Bacterial small subunit ribosomal RNA", at positions 28 to 507 of the family's 1533-position model. The record is from RNAcentral.
GACGAACGCUGGCGGCGUGCUUAACACAUGCAAGUCGAACGGAAAGGCCCUGCUUUUGUGGGGUGCUCGAGUGGCGAACGGGUGAGUAACACGUGAGUAACCUGCCCUUGCCUUUGGGAUAACUUCAGGCAACUGGGGCUAAUACCGGAUAGGAGCUCCUGCUGCAUGGUGGGGGUUGGAAAGUUGAGGCGGUUUGGGAUGGGCUCGCGGCUUAUCAGCUUGUUGGUGGGGUAGUGGCUUACCAAGGCUUUGACGGGUAGCCGGCCUGAGAGGGUGACCGGCCACAUGGGGACUGAGAUACGGCCCAGACUCCUACGGGAGGCAGCAGUGGGGAAUAUUGCACAAUGGGCGGAAGCCUGAUGCAGCAACGCCGCGUUCGGGAUUACGGCCUUCGGGUUGUAAACCGCUUUCGCCGGUGACGAAGCGUGAGUGACGGUAAUGUGUAAAGAAGCACCGGCUAACUACGUG